Molecule: unclassified non-coding RNA, 350 nt
Filed under: uncultured bacterium
Lineage: Bacteria
Description: contains 16S-23S intergenic spacer region
Source: RNAcentral
UCUCGGCAUGACCCGGUAGCAACUGGGAGCGGGGGUUGCGCUCGUUGCGGGACUUAACCCAACAUCUCACGACACGAGCUGACGACAGCCAUGCAGCACCUGUCUAGGGACUCCGAAGAGGGGCCCCGGUUUCUCGAGGCUUUCCCCUAGAUGUCAAGCCCAGGUAAGGUUCUUCGCGUUGCGUCGAAUUAAACCACAUCAUCCACCGCUUGUGCGGGUCCCCGUCAAUUCCUUUGAGUUUUAGCCUUGCGGCCGUACUUCCCAGGCGGGGCACUUAAUGCGUUAGCUACGGCACGGAGCCCGUCGAUCGAGCCCCACACCUAGUGCCCAACGUUUACGGCGUGGACUAC